This 444-nucleotide ribosomal RNA is filed under the name uncultured bacterium. RNAcentral describes it as "bacterial SSU rRNA". It matches the Rfam family "Bacterial small subunit ribosomal RNA", at positions 958 to 1398 of the family's 1533-position model. The record is from RNAcentral.
AACGCGAAGAACCUUACCUGGAUUUGACAUCCCAUUGAAUGUUUUUAGAGAUAGAAACAGGCUAGCAAUAGACAGUGGAGACAGGUGCUGCAUGGCUGUCGUCAGCUCGUGUUGUGAAAUGUUGGGUUAAGUCCCGCAACGAGCGCAACCCCUGCCUUUGGUUGCUAACAUUUAAGGUGAGCACUCCAGAGGGACUGCCGUCGUCAAGACGGAGGAAGGUGGGGAUGACGUCAAGUCCUCAUGGCCUUUAUAUCCAGGGCGACACACGUGAUACAAUGGUAGGUACAAAGGGUAGCGAAGUGGUGACACGGAGCCAAUCCCAAAAAACCUAUCUCAGUUCGGAUUGGAGUCUGCAACUCGACUCUAUGAAGUUGGAAUCGCUAGUAAUCGCGGAUCAGAACGCCGCGGUGAAUACGUUCCCGGGCCUUGUACACACCGUACGUC